AGAGUUUGAUCAUGGCUCAGAGCGAUCGCUGCCGGCAGGCUUAACACAUGCAAGUCGAGCGGCGCGUAGCAAUACGUCAGCGGCAGACGGGUGAGUAACGCGUGAUAGCGUACUUUUUGGUACGGAAGAAUACAGGAAAACUUGUGCUAGUACCGGAUAAGCCCUUACGGUGAACGAUUUAUCGGAGAAAGAUCGGCCCGCGUCUGAUUAGCUAGUUCGUGAGAUAAUGGCUCACCAAGGCGACGAUCAGUAGCUGGUCUGAGAGGAUGAUCAGCCACAUUGGGACUGAGACACGGACCAAACUCUUACUGGAGGGAGCAGUGCGGAAUAUUGGACAAUGGGCGCAAGCCUGAUCCAGUCAUGCCGCGUGACUGAUGAAGGCCCUAGGGUUGUAAAGCUCUUUUGUGCGGGAAGAUAAUGAACGGUACCGCUAGAAUAAGCCCCGGCUGUCUUCGUGCCAGCACAGGCGGUAAUACGAAGGGGGCUAGCUGCUAGCUCGGAAUCACUGCGCGUAAAGGGUGCGUAGGCGGGUCUUUAAGUACACGGGGUGAAAUCCUGGAGCUCAACUCCAGAACUGCCUUUGAUACUGAGGAUCUUGAGUUCGGGAGAGGUGAGUGGACCUGCGAGUGUAGAGGUGAAAUUCGUAGAUAUUCGCAAGAACACCAGCGGCGAAGGCGGCUCACUGCGCCUCGAUACUGACGCUGAGGUGAUGAAAGCGUGCGGAGCAGACAGGUUUAGAUACCCCAGUAGUCC
RNAcentral lists this ribosomal RNA (753 nucleotides) under uncultured bacterium. RNAcentral's name for it is "bacterial SSU rRNA". It matches the Rfam family "Bacterial small subunit ribosomal RNA", at positions 8 to 796 of the family's 1533-position model. The record is from RNAcentral.